RNAcentral lists this long non-coding RNA (295 nucleotides) under Homo sapiens (human). RNAcentral describes it as "HSALNT0162699". The record is from RNAcentral. Lineage: Eukaryota; Metazoa; Chordata; Mammalia; Primates; Hominidae.
GCAUUUCAGGAAUCAGCUAGAGGAAAAACAGACAGCAUGUGAUCAUAUUACAGAGGGACUCUGCGAUUCUCAGCAUCUCUGAGGGAUGUUUGUAGUUUAAUAAAUAUUGAGGGAGAUGUAAAACCUAUGCACAUUCUUAAGUACAUAAAUAUGUACAUACAUGUACACAAAUAUAUCUGUGUAUUAAAGUUUCUGAAUCAAAGUUUUCUUCAUAAAAAGGUGAGGACCAGCCUGCCUCAUGUCAAGAAAGAUUAGACCUCAUCAUACUUCUUGUUUGUGUCCUUUACCAGUUGCU